GCAGUCGACGAUUCCUACGGGAGGCAGCAGCAGGGAAUAUUGCACAAUGGGCGAAAGCCUGAUGCAGCGACGCCGCGUGCGGGAUGAAGGCCUUCGGGUUGUAAACCGCUUUCAGCAGGGACGAAAAUGACGGUACCUGCAGAAGAAGCCCCGGCCAACUACGUGCCAGCAGCCGCGGUAAUACGUAGGGGGCGAGCGUUGUCCGGAUUUAUUGGGCGUAAAGGGCUCGUAGGCGGUUUGACAAGUCGGUCGUGAAAACCCGGGGCUCAACCCCGGGACGCCGGUCGAAACUGUCAUGACUAGGGUCCGGUAGAGGUGAGUGGAAUUCUCGGUGUAGCGGUGAAAUGCGCAGAUAUCGAGAGGAACCCCAGUUGCGAAGGCGGCUCACUGGGCCGGUACCGACGCUGAGGAGCGAAAGCGUGGGGAGCAAACAGGAUUAGAUACCCUGGUAGUCCACGCCGUAAACGUUGAACACUAGGUGUGGCGGACUUAUCCACGUCCGCCGUGCCGAAGCUAACGCAUUAAGUGUUCCGCCUGGGGAGUACGGCCGCAAGGCUAAAACUCAAAGGAAUUGACGG
This 578-nucleotide ribosomal RNA is filed under the name uncultured Actinomycetes bacterium. RNAcentral describes it as "bacterial SSU rRNA". It matches the Rfam family "Bacterial small subunit ribosomal RNA", at positions 325 to 916 of the family's 1533-position model. Lineage: Bacteria; Bacillati; Actinomycetota; Actinomycetes. The record is from RNAcentral.